This 288-nucleotide long non-coding RNA is filed under the name Selaginella moellendorffii. Its description in RNAcentral is "long non-coding RNA (SMOE_LNC000020)". Lineage: Eukaryota; Viridiplantae; Streptophyta; Lycopodiopsida; Selaginellales; Selaginellaceae. The record is from RNAcentral.
AAACCGAAAAAUCUUUAUAGCUGUAACGGACUGUUCGUAGAAAGCAAUUGGACGCCUCAUCGGAAGCAGCCAAGUCAAACCUCACCUUUUGAGUAACUUCAUGGGCUCCCUCUCAGGAAUGCGGAUCCUGCUACCAAAACUUUGGCAGAGAUAGAUCGCCAUGCACGACUCCACCACUCCCUUCACGAAAAGUAGCGCCUGGCCGGACCUGAGAAGGAUCACGUUGCUCUACUCUUGGGAGUCGAUAUCAGCAAUCGCCUGGAGCCCCAAACUACUUGGAACGAUGAU